CCUACGGGAGGCAGCAGUGAGGAAUAUUGGUCAAUGGGCGCAAGCCUGAAGCAGCCAAGUCGCGGGAGGGAUGACGGUCCUAUGGAGUGUAAACCGCUUUUGUAGGGGAGCAAGGCCCGCCACGUGUGGCGGGCAGGAGAGCACCCGAAGAAAAAGCAGCGGCCAACUCCGUGCCAGCAGCCGCGGUAAUCAGUAGGGGGCAUGCGUUAGCCGGAUUUACUGGGUGUAAAGGGAGCGUAGUCGGUGCGCCAAGUCUGGAGUGAAAUGCCGCAGCUUAACUGCGGAACUGCUUUGGAAACUGGCGAACUAGAGUGCGGGAGGGGUGAGCGGAAUUCCUUGUGUAGCGGUGAAAUGCGUAGAUAUUAGGAGGAACACCGGUGGCGAAGGCGGCUUACUGGACCGUAACUGACGUUGAGGCUCGAAAGCGUGGGGAGCAAACAGGAUUAGAUACCCGGGUAGUC
This 461-nucleotide ribosomal RNA is filed under the name uncultured bacterium. Its description in RNAcentral is "partial 16S ribosomal RNA". It matches the Rfam family "Bacterial small subunit ribosomal RNA", at positions 338 to 795 of the family's 1533-position model. The record is from RNAcentral.